This 2604-nucleotide unclassified non-coding RNA is filed under the name Hevea brasiliensis (rubber tree). The record is from RNAcentral. Lineage: Eukaryota; Viridiplantae; Streptophyta; Magnoliopsida; Malpighiales; Euphorbiaceae.
GACGUACUUGAAUUUUGUGUUUCCGACUUGAGACUUCAUAAACAAUGGGUCAAUGGGAAUUGGGUCUUACCCGGCAAGCAGACUCAUUGAUGUUUAGUGUGGGAAAGAAUGUGGAAGUAUUGUUCGAUAGAGAUGACCGCCGUGAUGCUUGGUUCCCAUCCAAAGUCCUUGAACAGUUAGAAAAUGGCUCUUUUUUGGUGGAGAGGUAUCGGACAAUCGACAAAAAAGCAUCUAUUGACAAAGUAACUGUUGAUUCCUUCCAUAUCCGUCCUUUACCACCACAUAUCAAAAGGAAGAAAUUCAAUUUGCUGGAAAAAGUCGAUGCAUUUUAUGAUCUUGCCUGGUGGAGUGGUGUUAUCACUAGAGAGCUUGCUGAUAGUAGGUAUAUUGUCUUUUUUAAGCACACAAACAUGCAGAAGGAGUUGAAUGACUUUGAUUUGAGACCUCAUAUGGAUUGGAAAGAUGGGCAAUGGUUUACUACCUCACGGGACAUUCCAAUUCCUCCAGAUUGUCAAACUAACGGAAGCAAUAACUGCACUGACACUAGUAUUUUAAAAAAGGACACUCCACUUGGCAGAUCAAGCAUUAUGAAUGAGAUCUCUGAGGAAAAAACACCACAAUCUAUUAAGCUUAUGGAGGAUCUUAAUGAGCCACAUUCAACUGAUGAGAUUUCACCAGAGGAGACAUUGCAAAAUGCGCUUCCCAACUGUGAUGCUGCAUCUCCACAAACCCCAGAGCCGCCCAAAGACAUGUCACUUGAAGCAUGUACACUUCGUUCAAAGCCUUCUAAAAAACCCCGCACAAAGAGUCCCUUUAGUCAGUCCAGCCCAAAAUCUGAAUAUGCUGAAAUGAAAAUAUCAGCACCUUUAGCUGGAGAUGAGCAAACCCAUAACCGCUCUUGGCAGAACAGAACUAGAAAGAGAUGUCAGGAACUUGGUGUAAAAAAGAGUGGGGCACUUGAGAAGUUGCGAGGCCUAAAAUCUCCUUCAAGAGGUAACAAGGGUAUUGCGAUAGAAAAUGCUGCUGAAGUUAUUCAAAAACGCUCUACACGUAAAGAAACUGAUGUUCCUGUCGUCAUAGGGUUGGAGUGUACUAAGGUUAGGAGUUCGAAGGCUAAAAGAUCUCGUCUGAUUAAUAAUGAAUCUUUGGAGUCUAUUGGAGAUCUGAAGCAGAUCGAUGCUGCUAUAGAUGAUGUGCAGGAUACCAAACACUCCGGUGAUGGAGGGGGCAGUAGUCAGAAAAGGAGAAGGGGACGACCAGCUAGGAAACUACCUUCAAUUAUCCCAGCAGUUAUGGAACCAAUUGGAGAUCAUCGAAAUGAUGAGAAUUCAGGUCACGUCGAGCUUGCAAUUAUGGAAAAUGAAGUCGGUAAGGAGCAACUUGAGGUUCAAAUGGGGCACAGCAGAAAAAGAGGCAGGACGAAGAAGAUAAGUCAAACAAAAAUGUCAAAUGAGAAAGCAGUUCGGUCUUUGUCCCAGCAGCAUGAGAAGCAUUAUGUGAAGAGGGAAAAGCGACAGCAAAAAAGUGUAAAUAUUGAAUCUCAAGUUCAAGCUUCUGUAGACUCUUCUGGAGUGAAGCCUGCUGAAUCAAACAGGGCAACCGAUGGUGAGGAAGUUCUUGCUGAAAUACCCUUCAAUGGAUUUGAUGAUCAACCCCUUGCAAAGUGGUUUGAAGAAAUACAGGCUCCAACUUCUAUUGAUGGAUUGAGAGUUUCACCUGCAUGUAGCCCGAAGCGAUGUGCUGAGAUGAGGGAGAAACAAGACAUGCCCAUGCAAACUCCUGCCAACAGGACUCCAGCAACCCAAAUUGAAACACAGAGCUUGCCAUUUGUGAAAAAUACACUACUUUGGUCAACUAUUGAAGCCAUGGAUAUAUUCAGGAGGAUUCCUCAGAAGCCACAUUUCACUCCAUUGGAACAGUCUAAAGAGAGCUCCCGUGAAGGACAAGCUAUAGGUUAUAUGGUAACUUUUUUAAGCAUAGUAGAGAGGACUUCUAGACUUCAGUUUGACGAUCCUAGAAGCACCUUUGAGGAAAUCAUGGAGACUCUCACCGACUUGGAAACCCAUGGAUUUAAUGUUCAAGCUGUACGAGAUCGUCUAAGUGAGUUACUGUUGAUGAAAGAUAAGCAGGAAAAGCUUGAAAGUCAGGUUGCAGGUAUUGAUAACCAGAUCAUCACGCAUAAUAUGGACAAAGAACGUAUUGAUGGAGAGAUUAAAGAGAUCAAUAAACAAAUUGCAGAAUUACAGGAUAAACUUUCCCUGGCUACUUCGAGGAAGGAGGCUAAGGAUCGUGAAAUUGAUGGUUUAAGGUCUAGGUUAAUGGGUAUUCAAGCAGGGACAAUGAAGGCACACACUGAAUUUGACAGUCUUGCUAGUAAACCUCUGUAAAUGCUACCAGCCAGUUAGUCACUAUUGAUGGUUUCUCUUGAAUCAUGGGUUGCUGCUAUUUAAUCAAAAUCUAGUUUCGUAGUUGGGUAGGUGUUUUGUCAAACCAUUUGGCUAUCAUGCCAAAUGUGUAUAUGUCCUGUCUAGAUAACUUUGUUGGAAUAGUACAUGUUUUCGGAUGGUCUAAUAGUUUAAAGCUUCAGACUGACUGCUUUUUGUG